UUGCAACAGUAUGACAUAUUUGAGGCAGCUUAUUCAAUUUGACAUAACCAUAAAACACAGUGCCUCAGUUUAGUAUACGUUAUCAGCAACGAGGUACAACAACAUAAUGUUGGAUCCGCAUAUGAUAGCACGUUUUUAAGUGACGUGAAAUUUAUUUUGCAGAAUACGGAUAGCAAUGGCACAUGGCCUCGGGCGCCUUUCAGCACCACCAUAACAUUUGGUGCAGAUUGCUCGCGAACCACGCGUCCUGCGACGAUUGGAACGGCAAAUUUUCGAUCAACAUCUAGUUUCUUUAGAUUGGCAUAAAAACAACACAAACAGAAUCGAGUGAUGUCUCAUCAAGAAACAGGCUUUCAACAGCCUUACCUUGGAAUUACCUGGAGCCGAGAAGUGCACGUGCGCUUUAGUCACAUAAGCUGUCGUUGGUGACGACUGAAUAUCCGGUGGCGCAGACCGCACGAGCCCUGGCAUUCCGGUCACAUACACACCGGCGACAUCGGGGAUCAGACCGCACGCGCCGAAACGCGCCGGGAUCCGGCAAACGGCUGCAGACGGGGCACCACCGCAUUAUUGGCGUGAAGCCUCCAGGCACGGAGAGGUGCACCUGCUCACCUGCGCCCACGGACGAGGCGCUGCUCCCCAG
This is a long non-coding RNA of Pollicipes pollicipes, 643 nucleotides long. RefSeq lists it as uncharacterized. Lineage: Eukaryota; Metazoa; Arthropoda; Thecostraca; Pollicipedomorpha; Pollicipedidae. The transcript has 3 exons. The record is from RefSeq and is a predicted model, not a curated record.